Molecule: ribosomal RNA, 306 nt
Filed under: Escherichia coli
Lineage: Bacteria; Pseudomonadati; Pseudomonadota; Gammaproteobacteria; Enterobacterales; Enterobacteriaceae
Description: partial 23S ribosomal RNA
Rfam family: Bacterial large subunit ribosomal RNA
Source: RNAcentral
AAUGGGUCAGCGACUUAUAUUCUGUAGCAAGGUUAACCGAAUAGGGGAGCCGAAGGGAAACCGAGUCUUAACUGGGCGUUAAGUUGCAGGGUAUAGACCCGAAACCCGGUGAUCUAGCCAUGGGCAGGUUGAAGGUUGGGUAACACUAACUGGAGGACCGAACCGACUAAUGUUGAAAAAUUAGCGGAUGACUUGUGGCUGGGGGUGAAAGGCCAAUCAAACCGGGAGAUAGCUGGUUCUCCCCGAAAGCUAUUUAGGUAGCGCCUCGUGAAUUCAUCUCCGGGGGUAGAGCACUGUUUCGGCAAG